UUAAGUAUCUCUAGGGACCCGAGGUUGUGAACCACUGAUCUAGACUAACAGAAAGUAGAGGGAGAGGGUCCUUCUAGGGUGUUUGGUUGCGUGGGUUCCUGGCAUCUGGACAGUUGAGAACCAGAGGUUGGGAGCCACCACGAACCCUGGUGGGGAAAUGAAAGCUACAGACCACAAUGGCUCCUUGGAGGUGACCUUUUGAGGUCACAAUGAUGCCACCACCACCACCCUUACCUCCAGUUGGAGACAGCGGCAGAAGGAAAACCUGGAGCAGGAGGAGAAGAGCUUCUCCUAGCAAGAGGGGGAGAACCCCCUGGGAAUGGGGAAUUGGACUUCCGCCAGGAAGCUGGAGGAGGAGGUUGAGAAUGAAGAGCUUCAGCCAGAAGAACUGGUCGCAGGAAGCCAGGGUGGCCACUGUAAAGGGCUGAAGAAGCUCUUUCAGAGAGGCGAAAGGACACCCAGGGAGAUACCGCUGGCCCCGAGUGAGAUGUUCUCUCAAGAUCUGCAGCCCAUGUCCAGGGAGAUUCUUUCUUCCUUGGGCCGGAGAGGUGCCAGGCUCCGUCGGGCUGCUCAGAGGUCCUGCCCUCCUCUUUUCUCCUUGACUCUGUGGGUGGCCGGCGACGGAGGCGAACGAGAAGAGAACUAUCGGUACCACCGCCUGAUGGGGAACCUGGUCUCCUCCAUGGUUCCAGAAAACGACCUCCCACCCCCUACGUGGUAUGAGAUCCCCGGGGACCAGGUUGUGAGGCCACCAUCCCCUCCCCCGCUCCGGUACCUGGCCAACGGUAUGACCAUGGCAGAAGGACACCACUUGCCUUACCUCAGGCUUGACCAUGGCCUGCCAAGGACAGAAUAAAAAUGGAAACAACCUUGCACAAGCAUCUCAGGUGUGACGUGUCCUGCCUUACUAACAACGUUGUCAAGGUGGUUGUCCAAAGUGGCCCUCUCAAUUGGUGGAUCUGUGGUGUCAGAGCGGGAACCAGACAGAUCUAUCUCUAGACCACAAUCCAACAGGACGCCAUCU
RNAcentral lists this long non-coding RNA (1024 nucleotides) under Pogona vitticeps (central bearded dragon). Its description in RNAcentral is "lncRNA (ENSPVIG00000000584.1)". Lineage: Eukaryota; Metazoa; Chordata; Lepidosauria; Squamata; Agamidae. The record is from RNAcentral.